GGGGGCGACAGAGUUCGACAGAGCUGGUUCGGCCUAGAAUUGCGAGUCGAGGCGCCGUUGGCCUCGUAAAAAGCGGCAACAAAGUAACUGCGGAAAAUCAGUACGCAUACGCAGCCUAAGCGCUGUGGGUCCGUUCUCUCCUAGCCGGUUGGAGGGAGUACGGGUCUAAAAAAAUCCGGAUCGCGUAAGCGCUCUUCUGUUCGUAGAACGCCUCGCUAAAAUAAUCGAACUGGACGUCCGCCCAGGUUAGCCCUGACAGAGGACGGCGUCGAGAAAAGUAGAGAGGGAGACACUCGUGGUAGUUCGGGUACGAUAGUUUUGGAAGAGGGUUUAAUUCCCUCCGCCUCCACCA
This 352-nucleotide transfer-messenger RNA is filed under the name Fimbriimonadaceae. RNAcentral's name for it is "SZAS-5 sp018268315 Standard tmRNA". It matches the Rfam family "transfer-messenger RNA". Rfam says of the family: Bacterial tmRNA, also known as 10Sa RNA or SsrA, is named for its dual tRNA and mRNA-like properties. Lineage: Bacteria; Bacillati; Armatimonadota; Fimbriimonadia; Fimbriimonadales. The record is from RNAcentral. RNAcentral also lists the same sequence under 1 other name.